Molecule: long non-coding RNA, 363 nt
Filed under: Actinidia chinensis (golden kiwifruit)
Lineage: Eukaryota; Viridiplantae; Streptophyta; Magnoliopsida; Ericales; Actinidiaceae
Description: long non-coding RNA (ACHI_LNC001114)
Source: RNAcentral
CCGUGAAUUGCUUACUAGAUUGGAUGACUGCAUUUUCUUUCUCCUUUGCUUUCUAAUUUUGUGUGCAUUUGGGUUGUGUACUUAAAAUGUUCAUAAUGAGCUAAAUCUCUAUGGAGAUAACAAGAUGACUAUCAUUGAAUACUAAGCCCGAGUCAUUUUUCCCCUUUGUGUGGUGUAGUCUUUGUUACAUAAACUUCGUGUACAGGUGUGGGGUGUGGGUAUGUGAAGUGUUGUAUUUAUCUAAUUCCCAUGGGUAGCCAUGUGGUUAAGGUGCAAUAUUAAUAUUUAUUAAUGUCCUUCCUUUAUUUUCUAGGGUGAAUUGGCUUUUACAAGGACUGUAAAGCAUUUACAUGCAUACUGUGG